UACGUAGGGUGCAAGCGUUAAUCGGAAUUAUUGGGCGUAAAGCGCGCGCAGGCGGUUUUGUAAGUCUGUCGUGAAAGCCCCGGGCUCAACCUGGGAAUUGCGAUGGAGACUGCAAGGCUUGAAUCUGGCAGAGGGGGGUAGAAUUCCACGUGUAGCAGUGAAAUGCGUAGAGAUGUGGAGGAACACCGAUGGCGAAGGCAGCCCCCUGGGUCAAGAUUGACGCUCAUGCACGAAAGCGUGGGGAGCAAACAGG
This 253-nucleotide ribosomal RNA is filed under the name uncultured bacterium. RNAcentral's name for it is "partial 16S ribosomal RNA". It matches the Rfam family "Bacterial small subunit ribosomal RNA", at positions 524 to 776 of the family's 1533-position model. The record is from RNAcentral.